Molecule: ribosomal RNA, 360 nt
Filed under: Triticum aestivum (bread wheat)
Lineage: Eukaryota; Viridiplantae; Streptophyta; Magnoliopsida; Poales; Poaceae
Description: partial small subunit ribosomal RNA
Source: RNAcentral
AUGAAAGCAGAUAAGAUAUCACAAACACUCAUUGAUCAAACUCCGUCAGGAGAAUUGCUGUUGUUCAAACUUAAGAGCAUCAGUCAUUCAUCAUCUACUGAUCCAAACUUGUCAAUAGCCGUUUGCUUUACGAAGUUCAGAUGGAAAGUUGCAAAAAUAGAAAUAAUAAAGCACUGUAAACAUCAAGCAACAACUAACGAAUCAAAAGAAGGCAUGCAUUCCAAAACAAUCAGCCCACACAAAUCAAUAGCUAAAAUGGAAGUUACAGGAACAUGGAAGAACAGAAGAUGGAUAAAGUUUUCUGAAGCUGCAAAGCACAAAUCCUGUACUAUACUAAAGGCUGACCCAGGUUAUGAAUAA